GAUCCUGCCAGAAUUAUAUGCUUGUUCUAAAGAUUAAGCCAUGCAAGUUCCGAUAGAGUGGUAAGCUCAAUCUGCAAAUAGCUCCGUAUAUCUGUUUCAACCCUCGUGGUUUAUGAAUGUAAACCAGAAUCUAAGGUUCCGCCCGGGGGCGAAGGGGGAGGAGGGCUCGCGCUCGCCUCCCCUCGAGCCCCAGGGCGGCGACACGCUCGGCUCUGGAAGGUAUACGGAUAACCACGGUAAUUCUGUGGCCAAUACGUGUUCAAAGGCGCGCCGCAAGGCGCGCCGAGAUCUUUCGAGCCAUAACCAACGGGGGCCUCACGGCCUCUCACCGGGAGCAGUCGAAAGCUGUCUGACGGGUUUAUCCCGCAGUCCACCGGGGAUUCAGACCUAUCAACUUGACGGCAGGAUCGAGGCCUGCCAUGGUCGUAACGGGUACAGAGGAUAAGGGUUCGAUCCUGGAGAGGUAGCCUUAGAAACAGCUACCACUUCUAAGGAAGGCAGCAGGCGCGCAACGUUCUCAAUGGGGUUUCCCCUGAAGACGUGACAGAACAUAGCAAUACUGGGCCUUCAAGGUUCGGUAAUUGAAAUGAGAACAUUUUAAAUCCCUUAUCAAGUAACAAUUGGAGGACAAGUCUGGUGCCAGCACCCGCGGUAAUUCCAGCUCCAAUAGCAUCUAGUUAAGUUGUUGCAGUUAAAACGCUCGUAGUCGACACCUGCGCCCCGUUGCUGCCCAGUAGCCUCUGCGCAGGGCGUCCCACCUCGAGAUAGUCUUGCGCUCUGGCGACAGGUAGCGAUGGGAGCGUGUAAUUAUUGCCCGGCAAUCGGGAGUCAGCUACUUCGCUGUGGGCGCCCCACGCCGGGAACCUUACUUUGAGUAAAUUUGCGUGCUCGAAGCAUGACAAUGUCUGAAAACUCCAGCAAAGAAUAACGAAAGAAGAGCCCAUCUUCGCGCGUUGGUUCGAAUUAGGGCUAAUGAUUGAUAGAGGUAAGCGGGGCUGGUCACAUGGUGGGGGUAGGGGUGAAAUCCGUUGAUCCUCGCCAGGUGAACUACUGCGAAGGCAUCCAGCAAGUAUACACUCUUUGAUCAAGAACGAAAGUCUGGGGAUCGAAGACGAUCAGAUACCGUCGUAGUCCAGACCCUAAAUGAUGCCGACCAUGGAUGGACUUUCGUCCAUCCCGACCUAGUCUGGACCUUGUGGGAAACCAUUAAGUUUUUGGGCUCUGGGGGGAGUAUGGUUGCAAGACUGAAACUUAAAGGAAUUGACGGGAGAGCACACAAGGAGUGGAGCCUGCGGCUUAAUUUGACUUAACACGGGAAAACUCACUAGAGCAAGAAAAGGGGAUGAGUGUCAGCGCAGCCGCACUUACACGAUUCCUUCAGUGGUGGUGCAUGGUCGUUCUUAGUUCGUGGAGUGAUUUGUCUGGUCUAUUCCGCUAACGAGCGAGAACCCAAUCUCCUGUAGUUGAACGUGCGGGCACGCCCAUGCUUCACGGCACAGGCUGAAACACGCCCGCAUGAUCUAUCCUAAGGAGACCGGCUGCGACAAGUGGCUGGAAGUGGGUCAAUAACAGGUCAGUGAUGCCCUUUAGAUGCUCUAGGCUGCACGCGCGCUACAAUGGGAGGAAGAACGCGUUAUCGGUGCCUAACGGCUAUCGGUAAUCGUCCAAAACCUCUCCUGUCCGGGAUUGGCCUUUGUAACAGGGCCAUGAACAAGGAAUUUCUAGUAGUCAUCGGUCACUAGCCGGUGGCGAUUAUGUCCCUGCUCUCUGUACACACCGCCCGUCGCUCCUACCGAUUGGGCCAGCUGAUGAGGAACCUGGUCUUUUUCGACCCAGCUCAAAAGGCUGGCAAGAGGCUGGAAGGGUUCAAAUUUUCUGGUCUAGAGGAAGGAGA
Molecule: ribosomal RNA, 1894 nt
Filed under: Licea marginata
Lineage: Eukaryota; Evosea; Eumycetozoa; Liceales; Liceaceae
Description: bacterial SSU rRNA
Rfam family: Eukaryotic small subunit ribosomal RNA
Source: RNAcentral